GAUGAAGAACGUAGCGAAAUGCGAUAAGUAAUGUGAAUUGCAGAAUUCAGAGAAUCAUCGAAUCUUUGAACGCACAUUGCGCCCGCCAGUAUUCUGGCGGGCAUGCCUGUUCGAGCGUCAUUUCAACCAUCAAGCCCCCGGCUUGUGUUGGGGACCUGCGGCUGCCGCAGGCCCUGAAAACCAGUGGCGGGCUCGCUAGUCACUCCGAGCGUAGUAAUACAUCUCGCUCAGGGCGUGCUGCGGGUUCCGGCCGUUAAAAAGCCUUAUUUACCCAAGGUUGACCUCGGAUCAGGUAGGAAGACCCGCUGAACUUAAGCAUAUCAAUAAGCGGAGGA
RNAcentral lists this unclassified non-coding RNA (335 nucleotides) under soil metagenome. RNAcentral's name for it is "partial contains 5.8S ribosomal RNA, internal transcribed spacer 2, and large subunit ribosomal RNA". The stretch from base 1 to 120 matches the Rfam family "5.8S ribosomal RNA", at positions 35 to 154 of the family's 154-position model. The record is from RNAcentral.